Molecule: antisense RNA, 185 nt
Filed under: Solanum lycopersicum (tomato)
Lineage: Eukaryota; Viridiplantae; Streptophyta; Magnoliopsida; Solanales; Solanaceae
Also listed under: 1 other name
Description: Antisense RNA which regulates isiA expression
Rfam family: Antisense RNA which regulates isiA expression
Source: Rfam by way of RNAcentral
AAUAGCCAAAUAUUAUACUUGGGCUAAAGGUCAAGUUAGUAUUUUUUCUUACAUCUCACCAUCUCGAAGCCCAGGUAUAAUUUACACCCCAAAAUAAAGAGCCUUGAAUACUAGAAGAAAAACACUUAUACCUAACAAGAUAAAUGAAUAUCUAGAAUUGUGUUCAUUUUAUUUCGAUCUUUUCA